UCCGCCUUCUAUAAUCUCUCUCUAUAUAUAAGUAAUGGGAAAGCAGAAUUUUAAGAACAGAACAUAGCGAGAAUGAGAAGUGGUUUACUUGUUUCUUGAUUAAAGUUGGAUAUUCUCAUAUAAAAUCAAUAUUGGGGCAUCCUGCAUCCUCUUAGAUGGUUGACAAAAGCAUCAUGGCAUAUGAUUUCACUGCCUACUCAUGAGAUGUUCCACACUUUAUUACAAGCCAUCAACACUUGUCACCUACUCUACAGUUUGCUUCCUUACGUACUUGUCAAUACACACUAGAUCCACUCGAUUUGUUGGUAUGGAGUCAUGGCCUCACCAAUUUUCUUAUGCUACUUUUUUCAACACUGCCACUUCAGAAGACUGCUCAACUGAUCAUUAUAACUAUUAAAGAAGUAAUGUUUAUUUAUGUCUGGAUAAUUACAAGUCCCACAAAAUACCUUUCAAAGUUUUGGUAUAGCUAUAUUAGAAACACCUGUGCUAUAGAAUUCAACAAAAUUUGCUGUCAGAAAGAUGGCAAUUUUAGUGUGUACAAAAUGCUAUGUUAAUACAGGCGCUCAAAAGUAUGGAAACCAUUGCUAGAAGUUAUGAACCAUUGGUGUAGCUAUGUAAGAUAUAUAGCUCCCUUCUGUUCCCUUUCUUUUAUUUACUUUUAUCCUUUCAUAUUUGAUUAAGCAUUUUCAGUUGUACACAAUUCUAUUAGUGUAUGUUGUUUUUGUAUAGGUCCUACAGAAUUCAGAAAAGUUUGCUAUAAAGAAGAAAACAAGUCUAGGAUGUAUACUGCUGGGUGAUCCAAGUAGAAAAUUCUUCACAGAGACAAAUAGUUGUUUUAGGUGUUUGGCUUUCCCAGAGAAAGUUCCCUUCUCCCUUCAUUUUCCUUUUCUAUUAUAAACCUUUUCUUUUCUGUUUUUUUGUUCUCUUUCCAUGGUUGAUUCAGCUUCAUACAAUUGUGAUUCUCUCAGCUGUUUCAGGUGUUUUUGCCCAUGCCUGUUUCACAGGUGCUCCAAGUGGUACAACCAUCGCUAGAAGCUACAGAAAGAGUUCAACAAAAUUUGCUGUCAGAAAGAUGGCAAAUUUAUUAGGUAAAUCAAGACAGGUGCUCAAAGUAUGGAAACCAUUGCUAGAAGUUAUGAACCAUUGGCGUAGUGAUGUAAGAUAUAUAGCUCCCUUUUGUUCCCUUUCUUUUAUUUACUUUUAUCUUUCCAUAUUUGAUUAAGCUUUUUCACUUGCACACAAUUCUAUUAGUGUAUGUAGUUUUCUUGUAGGUCCCGCAGAAUUCAGAAAAGUUUGCUAUAGAGAAGAAAACAAGUCUAGGAUGUAUACUGCUGGGUGGAUCCAAGUAGAAAAAUCAUCAGAGAGACAAAUAGUUGUUUUAGGUUUUUGGCUUUCCCAGAGAAAGUUUCCUUCUCCCUUCACUUCCCUUUUCUAUUAUUUACCUUUUCUUUUUCUGUUUUCUUGUUCUCUUUCCAUGGUUGAUUCAGCUUCAUGGAAUUGUGAUUCUCUCAACUGUUUCAGCCUUUCAGGUAUUUUUGCCCAUGCCCGUUUCACAAGUGCUCCAAGUGGUACAACCAUCGCUUGAAGCUCCAGAAAGGUAUUGCCAUAAAAAAAAAGUUGAAUAGUGGUUCAAGGUAUUCUUUCGUAGAGUAAGUUGUCUUGGCCUUCUUCCUUUAUUUCCUUUUUUUCUGUUUCCGUGGCUUUUCCUAUUAAUAAAUGUUGUUUGCAUAGAACACCGGUGCCAUAGAGUUGAGAAGGUUUGCUUUCAAGAAAACAGAUCUAGAAUGUACUGAACUGCUAGUACGGACAGGUGCUCCAUCGAAGCUAGGAACUGUGGCCAAGCUAUUGGUAUAGAUAUGUGAGAGAUAUAGCCAUUUCAGGUAUGGCUUUGUCAGAAAAAGUUAUCUUAGUGUUUGCCCUUCAGUUUCCUCCUAGUUUAUUACUUCUUCUCUUUCCAUUUUAGGUGUUUCCAUUUGGAUCGUUCCUCCUCUCUAUUGCAUUUGAAGCAAUUGUUUGGUGUUAAAAUUUCAAUAUAACUUCACAUGUUUAUUGAUACUCUUUGGACUCUACUGACAUCAACUUAAUGGGGAUACUGUUCUUUGUGGUAUUGAUGUCUUAAAACUUUGUAUGGAGAUGUGCUUGUUCUAUCCGAUCUCAUUCUCGAUGUCAUGGUCUCUGUUGGUUUGAUUUGUGCUUAAUUGUUACUUUGUAAUUGGGUUAUACAGUAACAUUAUGCUUGGUGCUGCAGUGUCGAAAAAGAGCCCUCUUCAGAACUUACUACUUGGGCUUAGGUUUGCUCACAUGUCUUCCAUAACUAGCUAAACCUUUCAUGGGCUUUUUAAUUUUUCACCUCCCAAAUUGCUUUCUGCAGCAUUAUGAUAGACAUGGGCAUUAUGACUUUCUAUUAAAAAAAAUGUACAUUGUGAAUUCCUGUGCUAGUUCAUAUGUUCCAGUACUGUAUGGACAUUGAGAAAAUCUUUGGAAAGACAUUGGAUGGGCUUUAGCAGAGAUGGAAGGCGUUUGAAGGAAGCUCUUCAAACUGUGAAGAGCGAGGAGGUUGGCAACAAGCAACAUGGAUGAUAUGGCUUGAACCCUAUGUGAAAUGUGAAAACAUGUACAAUAAGCUAGGUUUCCAUGGCGGUCAGGCAUGCCAUAUUACACUUUUUCAAGUGGAGUUCAAUUUCUUUCUAUCUUUUAGCACAUUUCCUCUUCAGCUGAAUUUAUUUGCAGUGUAAAUUUUCCAGAGUUAUGAAUCAUUCCUUGCCUUUUGCAACGUGAUAUGUGAAACCGUGACAAGAAGCUAAAUUUCCUUGGUAGUCAGGUGUGUCCUAUCAUGCUUUCUCUGGUGGAAUUCACUAUCUUUCUUUUUGCAAAUUGCCUCUUCAGCUGGAAUUAUUUGCAGUAAAAGCUCCAAGAUUUGUAAAGCACUCCUUGCCUUUUGCAACUUGAAUAUGGGGACAUGGUUAUCUUUUAAAAAUUGCCUUGAAAUAGAAGUUGGUCAGUACUACUCUUUUUGCAAUUGACGUACAGAGGUUGGUGGGCCAAAGUUAGCCUUAUGCUGUCAAAUGCUAUCUUCAUGUAACCCCCUUUAUCACAUCACAUGAACAUCUUCUCCUCUAUUAUUAUCUUAAUAUACCGAAAAAGAAAAUGGCACUUAUCAAUAACCUUUACAAGGCCUUCAAAGAGGCAAGCAUCUAACUGAUGAUCAAUGAGCAUCUAGAGGACUGAAUUAUUAUUUUUAGGUCCCGCAGAAUUCAGAAAAGAAACCAAGUCUAGGAUGUAUACUGCUGGGUAAUCCAAGUAGAAAAAUCAUCACAGAGACAAAUAGUUGUUUCAGGUGUUUGGUUUUCCCAGAGAAAGUUUCCUUCUCCCUUCACUUUCCUUUUCUGUUAUUUACCCUUUCUUUUUCUGUUUUCUUGUUCUCUUUCCAUGGUUUAAUACUAUGUUCAUUUCGAACCAGAUACCACUUGAAACUAAUAACUCUUAAGAGUCUAGAUUCAGUAAGUUUCACUGUCCUUUGUUUUAUGGUGGUUUCAUGUAAAAUCUGCUAACAUCCUUUGAAUCUAAUGUUAUCAUCAUGCAGGUACAUAAAUUAUAUUUGCUGUGUGUGCAGAGAUCACAGAGAGAUAAAUGUAGCUUUUGGUAUUAUGGUAUGUUUUACAUUCUUAUUCUGUCCUCAUAUGGUAACAUCUUCGCCUUUUGGUCGUCUUGCAGUUGAACAUUCUCAUCUAUAACUAAUAUUGGAGCAUCCUCCUUAUUGUUUGACAAUAGCAUCUUUGUGUAUGAUGUCACUGCUUGAUUAUGAGAUGUUCUGCCACUUCCAUUGCAAGCCAUCAACACUUAUCUCAAAUCUACAUUUUGCUUCCUCAUAAUACUUGCCAGUACAUACUGGAUCCACCCAAUCUGUUGGUAUUCUGUCAUGGCCUCACCAAUUUUAUUGUGUUACUUUUUUCCCUACAACAACUUAAGAGGAGAAGACAGUUUAACAGAUCAUUAUUGUAAUACUAGAAGUGAUGGCUUAUGAUAUCACCGCCUGCUUAU
Molecule: long non-coding RNA, 4041 nt
Organism: Solanum stenotomum
Lineage: Eukaryota; Viridiplantae; Streptophyta; Magnoliopsida; Solanales; Solanaceae
Exons: 6
Source: RefSeq, a predicted model, not a curated record